RNAcentral lists this ribosomal RNA (305 nucleotides) under uncultured bacterium. RNAcentral's name for it is "bacterial SSU rRNA". It matches the Rfam family "Bacterial small subunit ribosomal RNA", at positions 335 to 636 of the family's 1533-position model. The record is from RNAcentral.
UUACCUACGGGGGGCAGCAGUGAGGAAUAUUGGUCAAUGGGCGGAAGCCUGAACCAGCCAAGUCGCGUGAGGGAAUAAGGCCCUACGGGUCGUAAACCUCUUUUGCCGGGGAGCAAGGGCCGGGACGCGUCCCGGCCCGGAGAGUACCCGGAGAAAAAGCAUCGGCUAACUACGUGCCAGCAGCCGCGGUAAUACGUAGGGGGCAAGCGUUAUCCGGAUUUACUGGGUGUAAAGGGAGCGUAGACGGAAUUGCAAGUCUGAUGUGAAAAUCCGGGGCCCAACCCCGGAACUGCAUUGGAAACUGU